GUGCUUGCUUCGGCAGCACAUAUACUAAAAUUGAAACGACACAGAGAAGAUUAGCAUGGCCCUGACAAAGGAUGACACAAGACUGACCUGGAUUCUAUCUCAACCAU
Small nuclear RNA from Suncus etruscus (white-toothed pygmy shrew), 107 nucleotides. NCBI's taxonomy places the organism in Eukaryota, Metazoa, Chordata, Mammalia, Eulipotyphla, Soricidae. The record is from RefSeq and is a predicted model, not a curated record.